GCGCCCGUAGCUCAGUUGGAUAGAGUAUCGGACUCCGACUCCGAAGGCCACAGGUUCGAAUCCUGCCGGGCGCACCA
This 77-nucleotide transfer RNA is filed under the name Clostridiales bacterium. RNAcentral describes it as "tRNA-Arg". It matches the Rfam family "tRNA". From Rfam's summary of the family: Transfer RNA (tRNA) molecules are approximately 80 nucleotides in length. Their secondary structure includes four short double-helical elements and three loops (D, anti-codon, and T loops). The record is from RNAcentral. Lineage: Bacteria; Bacillati; Bacillota; Clostridia; Eubacteriales.